This 485-nucleotide ribosomal RNA is filed under the name uncultured bacterium. RNAcentral's name for it is "bacterial SSU rRNA". It matches the Rfam family "Bacterial small subunit ribosomal RNA", at positions 28 to 507 of the family's 1533-position model. The record is from RNAcentral.
GAUGAACGCUAGCGGCAGGCCUAACACAUGCAAGUCGAGGGGCAGCGGGGAGUAGCAAUACUUUGCCGGCGACCGGCGCACGGGUGCGUAACGCGUAUGUGACCUACCUAUAACAGGGGGAUAACCCAGAGAAAUUUGGACUAAUACCCCAUAUUAUUAUUGAGCUGCAUGGUUUGAUAAUGAAAGACGCGAGUUGGUUAUAGAUGGGCAUGCGUGACAUUAGCUAGUUGGUAAGGUAACGGCUUACCAAGGCGACGAUGUCUAGGGGAACUGAGAGGUUAAUCCCCCACACUGGUACUGAGACACGGACCAGACUCCUACGGGAGGCAGCAGUGAGGAAUAUUGGUCAAUGGUCGGAAGACUGAACCAGCCAUGCCGCGUGAAGGAAGAAUGUCCUAUGGAUGUAAACUCUUUUGUAAGGAGCAAUAAGUUCCAUGCGUGGGAUGAUGAGAGUACCUUACGAAUAAGCAUCGGCUAACUCCGUG